Molecule: ribosomal RNA, 819 nt
Filed under: Delftia tsuruhatensis
Lineage: Bacteria; Pseudomonadati; Pseudomonadota; Betaproteobacteria; Burkholderiales; Comamonadaceae
Description: partial 23S ribosomal RNA
Rfam family: Bacterial large subunit ribosomal RNA
Source: RNAcentral
GGUCAAGUGACUAAGAGCAUGUGGUGGAUGCCUUGGCGAUGAUAGGCGACGAAAGACGUGAUAGCCUGCGAUAAGCUUCGGGGAGCUGGCAAAUAAGCUUUGAUCCGGAGAUUUCUGAAUGGGGAAACCCACCCGCAAGGGUAUCGCAUACUGAAUACAUAGGUAUGCGAAGCGAACCUGGAGAACUGAAACAUCUAAGUACCCAGAGGAAAAGACAUCAACCGAGAUUCCGAAAGUAGUGGCGAGCGAAAUCGGAACAGCCUUCUAGUGAUAGUCAGACGGUUAACAAAACGGAAUGGAAAGUCCGGCCAUAGUAGGUGAUAGCCCUGUAUGUGAAAACCGACUGGUGGUACUGAGCUAGAGAAAAGUAGGGCGGGGCACGAGAAACCCUGUCUGAAUAUGGGGGGACCAUCCUCCAAGGCUAAAUACUCAUCAUCGACCGAUAGUGAACCAGUACCGUGAGGGAAAGGCGAAAAGAACCCCGGGAGGGGAGUGAAAUAGAUCCUGAAACCGCAUGCUUACAAAAAGUAGGAGCCCGCAAGGGUGACUGCGUACCUUUUGUAUAAUGGGUCAGCGACUUACAUUCAGUGGCAAGGUUAACCGAAUAGGGGAGCCGUAGAGAAAUCGAGUCCGAAUAGGGCGUCCAGUCGCUGGGUGUAGACCCGAAACCAAGUGAUCUAUCCAUGGCCAGGAUGAAGGUGCCGUAACAGGUACUGGAGGUCCGAACCGACUAGUGUUGCAAAACUAGCGGAUGAGCUGUGGAUAGGGGUGAAAGGCUAAACAAACUUGGAAAUAGCUGGUUCUCUCCGAAAACUAUUU